RNAcentral lists this long non-coding RNA (392 nucleotides) under Androctonus crassicauda. Lineage: Eukaryota; Metazoa; Arthropoda; Arachnida; Scorpiones; Buthidae. The record is from RNAcentral.
GAGAGAGUGUGAGAUAGGCCCUUCAUAUACCUGAGAGAGAUUUUACAGGAACUACGUUAAUUCCAAAUACAUUAAAUGUUCACAAGUCCAUAAAGUUCAUUAUGUACACAGUCAGUUCCAUGGUUCAUUAUUGUCGGUCUCUUGCCAUCAUCACCCAUUGUCUCCAUCGACCUUGCUGAUGGGGCGAGUUGUCCUCCUGUCAAUCAGCAUACAUUGUUGUUGGUUUCAAACUUCAUUUCUUACUCUGUCUCCCUUCUGUAGUUCACAUAGUUGUCCGUUCACCUUGUCGUCGCCAUUACUGUCACACACUCUCAAGUCCCUGUCAGCCAUCCUGAUGGGACAAGCUGCUUUUCCGUUGUUAAAACUUACAUUGUGGAUUGCUAUUCACAGAC